Molecule: ribosomal RNA, 492 nt
Filed under: uncultured bacterium
Lineage: Bacteria
Description: partial 16S ribosomal RNA
Rfam family: Bacterial small subunit ribosomal RNA
Source: RNAcentral
AUUGAACGCUGGCGGCAUGCUUUACACAUGCCAGUCGAACGGUAACAGGCCUUCGGGUGCUGACGAGUGGCGAACGGGUGAGUAAUGCAUCGGAACGUACCCAGAGGUGGGGGAUAACGCAGCGAAAGCUGUGCUAAUACCGCAUGUGAUCUGAGGAUGAAAGCGGGGGACCGAGCAGCAAUGUUUGGCCUCGCGCCUUUGGAGCGGCCGAUGUCGGAUUAGCUAGUUGGUGGGGUAAAGGCCUACCAAGGCGACGAUCCGUAGCUGGUCUGAGAGGACGACCAGCCACACUGGGACUGAGACACGGCCCAGACUCCUACGGGAGGCAGCAGUGGGGAAUUUUGGACAAUGGGCGCAAGCCUGAUCCAGCAAUGCCGCGUGCGGGAAGAAGGCCUUCGGGUUGUAAGCCGCUUUUGGCAGGAACGAAACGGUGUCCGCUAAUACCGGGCGCUAAUGACGGUACCUGCAGAAUAAGCACCGGCUAACUACGUG